Pseudomyrmex gracilis is the source of this 506-nucleotide long non-coding RNA. RefSeq lists it as uncharacterized. The transcript is spliced from 3 exons. Lineage: Eukaryota; Metazoa; Arthropoda; Insecta; Hymenoptera; Formicidae. The record is from RefSeq and is a predicted model, not a curated record.
GAAGUAAGAAUAAGGAGACUUAACUACACAAAGUAAAAGUGGCUAUGAAAAAUGUUCCGUGUAAGAGGAGGUUCGCUAAACAGAAUAACUUGCAACAUUUCAUCGCCAUCUUGAAAUUGUAAAUGACAGAUAGUAAGAAAAGAUUGUAAAGGUUAGAAGAGUACACAGAGAGCAUAAAACAAGAGCGCCGCACAGAUGAAGAUAUAAUUGUGAAUAUAUUUUAUAUUUUUCUAGAGAAACAAAGAUAAUAAUAUUGAAAGUUGUUGAAAAAAAGAAGCAUGAUGAAACCUAAAACUGAUGGACGCAAUCAUUUUAAAUACUUGCAAGAUAAUUUGGAGUUGAUUACAUUUCCUUGUACAGGAUGGAGUUAUUCAACAGGAAAUGAAAUGUUUUUUGGUUUUCAAAAAAUGGAGAGUGAUUGUAGUGUAANAAAAAGAAUUGCUUUUUUGCAAAAUGGACAGGUUAAUAUUUAUAUAAAUAACGAAAUUCAUUCACUUUCAAAAUUU